AGAGUAAAAUAGUACGUGAAAUUGUUGAAAGGGAAACGAUUGAAGCCAGUCGUACUGACGGGUAAUCAACCUUUCGGGUGCGAUUCUGUGGGUUUUGGGGAGCUUCACGGCCCUCAUGGUCUGCAUAUUUGUGCCAUUUGGGUGUACUUACCUGGUAGUAGGUUAACAUCAAUUUCGGACGUCAUAAAAUGAUGGGAGGAAUGUAGCUUCGGUUUCGUACUGAAGUGUUAUAGCCUCUUGUAGAUGUGAUGAUCGGGAUUGAGGAUUGCAACGGAUACCCUUUGGGCUACCCGCCUGAUCUCUGAUGGUUGCUAUGGUGCCGAAAGCUUGCUUACGGUUAUCAGAGUUUUGAUUGUCAAAAGGUUAGAACGGGUUAAAUUCGUUAAGGAUGUUGACGUAAUGGCUUUAAACGACC
RNAcentral lists this ribosomal RNA (415 nucleotides) under Rhizophagus intraradices. Its description in RNAcentral is "partial large subunit ribosomal RNA". The record is from RNAcentral. Lineage: Eukaryota; Fungi; Glomeromycota; Glomeromycetes; Glomerales; Glomeraceae.